Molecule: RNA transcript, 1067 nt
Organism: Brassica rapa (field mustard)
Lineage: Eukaryota; Viridiplantae; Streptophyta; Magnoliopsida; Brassicales; Brassicaceae
Gene name: mediator of RNA polymerase II transcription subunit 10b
Source: RefSeq, a predicted model, not a curated record
GAUCCAAUUUACGUCAGCAAUUAGUAGAAAAGCCACGUCAGCAAUUCGCAGUGUGUCCGUUACCGUCGAUGAUUAAAAUCAGAAAUUAGGGUUACGGAUCAUCGGCUUCUUCACCCCUUGCGUCGGUGCUCUGUUCAUCUCCCGUGGUGUGGACUUCGUAGUAUCGUAAUCUCACGGUUGAAGCACCUUACUAACCCUAAGAAUCGCUACCCCUCUCUCUCUCUCUCUCUGUCGUUGGCUAAUUCGCUCGCCAAACCCAUCUCUGAUACAGCUGUGAUGGAACCAGGACAGAACACAAGCGCAGCAGGGAUUGGUGGAAGCAACGGUACAACUACGAUGGGAUAUCAAACCAAUGAUGGAACUGCCACUGCGUCUGAAGAUUCAAAGGAGAAUCUGAACCAAGUCAUAAACUCGAUUCAGAAGACUUUGGGACUCCUUCAUCAGCUACACCUUACUGUCUCCUCUUUCACCCCCGCUUCUCAGCUUCAUCUCCUCCAGCGCCUCAAUUCUCUGGUGUCGGAGUUGAAUAGCAUGACUAAGUUGUCCGAGAAAUGCAACAUUCAAGUCCCCAUGGAAGUUCUAAGCUUGAUUGAUGAUGGGAAGAACCCGGACGAGUUUACAAGGGAUGUUAUUAAUAGCUGCGUUGCCAGGAAUCAAGUUACAAAGGGCAAGACUGAUGCUUUCAAGGAUUUGAGAAAACAUAUACUGGAGGAGCUUGAAGAGACUUUCCCUGAUGAAGUUGAUAAGUAUAGAGAGAUCCGUGCUGCUUCUGCCGCUGAAGCAAAACGGGUGGCUCAAUCGCAAAGUGUGUUACCCAAUGGGGAUGCCAAGGUCAAGAGCGAGCUAUAAGAAAGAAGCUACUGUUGUUCUUCUGUGGAUCUUCUUACCUUGUAGAGUAAAGUGUCUGAGUAGAUGAUGUAAACGAACAAGAUCACUUUGCAAUUUCUAUAUAAUAUCUGUUGUUUGUUUAUUCUUCCGUAAAACCCUCCCAACUUUAAUUUCUUGCAAAUCUACACUCAAAACUGCAAUUACUUACGUUUUAGUUAAUUACAAAAUUGGUUUGGUUC